AUAUAAAGUUUAUUAAUACGGAAACAAAAAGUAAAAAUAGAACCAGGAAUAUAGUGUCUCAUUCUGCAGUAGUUCUCCUCAUGACCAGUGCACAGCAGUGAGGGACUUUUACAUCACAACAACGCAAAGGUCAUUAAGGGGAGAUCCUUCAGAACUAGCUACAGAUACAUGAGAUAACUCCAAUAGUGAUUCUCCUCAUGAUUAAUGCACAGCAGCAAGGGUUGACAUUGCUACUGGGCAAUAUUCAUCAAGGGACGGUGCUCUAGAACUCACUAUAGAGAAAAUAUAAAGUUCAAUUUACAAGUAGUAGAGGGAGAUAAAUCCCAUUAAUACUUUUCAUAUUUCUUAAUGAAUAUGCAUAAUUCUGAUAAUAAAUUCUCAUCUUCAUUAUUCAUUAACCAUAUCAGUUUUUGGUUAAGGUCAAGAUUUUUAAAAUUCUUGCAGCAAUUAUUUAUCAUUGUUAUCAUGUCUUUCCUUUGGUCCGAUAAACUAUCACAGUUGAAAAGAAAAUGUGUUUCAUCUUCGACCUCAUUACUACAACAUCUCUUACAAAUUCUAUUGUGUCGGGGAGUAUUACUAUAUCUACCUCUCUCUAUAAGUAAAUGGUGAGCAGAUAUGCGAAAUCUUGUUAAACUCCGUCUAUCUUCAAAUUUUUUAACAAUAUUAAGAUAUUUUUCACAACCAAAAUUUGAUUUAAAGGUAACAUAUGUGCAUAGUUUUCCUUCUGAGUGAGUUUUGAGAUUUUUUUCCCAAUCUUUCAACAUGGCAUUUCUUAGUUUUCCGUUGUCAAUUGGUUUAGCCGUGUCUGAGGAUAUUUGAUAAUUAUUAAUCAGUGAAAGAAGUUUUUCAGAUGACAUAUACCAAGACGGUUUCUUUGACUCAUACAAUUUUUUUG
This 895-nucleotide long non-coding RNA is filed under the name Mytilus galloprovincialis (Mediterranean mussel). Lineage: Eukaryota; Metazoa; Mollusca; Bivalvia; Mytilida; Mytilidae. The record is from RNAcentral.